Molecule: unclassified non-coding RNA, 416 nt
Filed under: uncultured Glomus
Lineage: Eukaryota; Fungi; Glomeromycota; Glomeromycetes; Glomerales; Glomeraceae
Description: SSU rRNA
Rfam family: Eukaryotic small subunit ribosomal RNA
Source: RNAcentral
AGCAGCCGCGGUAAUUCCAGCUCCAAUAGCGUAUAUUAAAGUCGUUGCAGUUAAAAGCUCGUAGUUGAAUUUCGGGAUCAGUACGCUGGUCGUGCCUUCGGUAUGUACUGGUGUUACUGGUUCCUACCUUCUGACGAACCGUCAUGUCAUUAAUUUGGUGUGGCGGGGAAUCAGGACUGUUACUUUGAAAAAUUAGAGUGUUUAAAGCAGGCUCGCGCUUGAAUACAUUAGCAUGGAAUAAUGAAAUAGGACGUUCGAUCCUAUUUUGUUGGUUUCUAGGAUUGACGUAAUGAUUAAUAGGGAUAGUUGGGGGCAUUAGUAUUCAAUUGUCAGAGGUGAAAUUCUUGGAUUUAUUGAAGACUAACUACUGCGAAAGCAUUUGCCAAGGAUGUUUUCAUUAAUCAAGAACGAAAGUU